AGUGGCCUUGGUAUCCGGUAGGUCAGCCAGGUGGCACCCACCAGCCGCUACACCGAGGUGGGAAGCUGAGGCACAUGUCCUAAGGCCUCAGGUCCCAGGAGGGUGAUGCUGGAGGACCCAGAGGUGAACCACAGUGGGCCCAUCUACCCCUGGGAGAAGUAGGCAGGAGGAUUGAAAGGGGCUCUGAGCCUGAGCACUGGGCUGCAGGGCCAGGUGACCGGAAGUGGCAAGACCACCCGCCUCUCUGCCUUGGCUGUGCAGACACUCUGGGUCUCCCCUUGCACCUGGGAGAUGCUGCUAGAGAGGAGGAAACUGAGGUCGCCCAGGCCCUCCUUCCUCCAGGAGCUACACAGCCGGAAGGAGAGGGAGAGUCUAUACGUGUAACUGAGGCUGUGGAGACCCUGCAAGAUGCCAUGCUUCAGAGCCACAGCCACAUGUAGGGGCUGGGCAGCUGUCUCCUACAGCUGGGCCAUGGUCAGGUGUGCAUUGUGCCAGAGUGGGCCAAUGGUGGGCAGUGAGGUUGGAAUAUCAUCAACUUCAUGAAGAUGCUCUAUCUAGAAGUCUCCCUACCCUGAAGGGGAACGCAAGCCUUGGAAGAUGACAUGGUCUCAGCUCUGCCUGCACAGGUUUUUCUGAGGUUUCUCAUGUUCGCACCCCAGGGUUCCCUCCUUCCCCCUGUUUUGAAUCAGGGUGUUAAUAUAUUGCCCAAUCGGGACCCAAAUGACCUCCUAUGUCUACCUCCCAGGUACCUGGUGUUACAGAUGCGACACAGUGUAAGCCCUAUGCCAUUAUCAUGGGUCUGAAAUUGUUAGCAUGGUUCUGAAAUAGCACACAAUCAAUGGU
RNA transcript from Mus musculus (house mouse), 843 nucleotides. It is a transcript of the gene named RIKEN cDNA 1700065I16 gene, with no coding region annotated. The record is from RefSeq and is marked validated. NCBI's taxonomy places the organism in Eukaryota, Metazoa, Chordata, Mammalia, Rodentia, Muridae. The transcript has 4 exons.